Liolophura sinensis is the source of this 505-nucleotide long non-coding RNA. RefSeq lists it as uncharacterized. NCBI's taxonomy places the organism in Eukaryota, Metazoa, Mollusca, Polyplacophora, Chitonida, Chitonidae. The record is from RefSeq and is a predicted model, not a curated record. The transcript has 3 exons.
AAAUCAGAGAAGGAGAGCGCCUGUUUACAAGACCUUUGUAAAGCUUUUUUGAGAGGUGACUAUGUGUGGAAUAGGUGCUGAGAUGUGAUCAAUAAUGUGAGCAUUGGUACCCACACUUCCUAAAAGAAGUCCACCCUCAACCCAAGGGCUGCAGGCAUGUGACAGACGAUGGGAGCAUAACAAGCAUGCAUACAUGUACAUGAAGAGUUGUCACUUACGUGUAUGUGUAGUCCUCUUCAAAGUGCAAUAGCGACCAACUUUGCUGGACAAGGCAUUGAAACAAACGACCUCGGGAAGUUGUCAGUGUACAUCUGAUGUGUUUCAUGAUGAGAUGCUUGGUGGCAAAAUUUCACUCAGACAUGUACAGCAUUGUUGUAGAGAACACCGUUAACUUGUAGCAUAUUCCAGAGCAAAAUGGGUUUAUAUGAAGUGGGAUGAUUAACCUUUUGUUGCAAUCAUUCUGAACAUUUUUUUUUAGUCAGUAGGAAUAUAUGGAUGAUAGACA